AGCAGCCGCGGUAAUUCCAGCUCCAAUAGCGUAUAUUAAAGUUGUUGCAGUUAAAAAGCUCGUAGUUGAAUUUCGGGGUUAGUAGGUUGGUCAUGCCUCUGGUAUGUACUGGUCUCACUGAUUCCUCCUUCCUGAUGAACCUUAAUGCCAUUAAUUUGGUGUUUUGGGGAAUUUGGACUGUUACUUUGAAAAAAUUAGAGUGUUUAAAGCAAGCUAACGCUUGAAUACAUUAGCAUGGAAUAAUGAAAUAGGACGUUCGAUCCUAUUUUGGUGGUUUCUAGGAUUGACGUAAUGAUUAAUAGGGAUAGUUGGGGGCAUUAGUAUUCAAUUGUCAAAGGUGAAAUUCUUGGAUUUAUUGAAGACUAACUACUGCGAAAGCAUUUGCCCAGGAUGUUUUCAUUAAUC
RNAcentral lists this ribosomal RNA (405 nucleotides) under uncultured Glomus. Its description in RNAcentral is "SSU rRNA". It matches the Rfam family "Eukaryotic small subunit ribosomal RNA", at positions 569 to 978 of the family's 1831-position model. The record is from RNAcentral. Lineage: Eukaryota; Fungi; Glomeromycota; Glomeromycetes; Glomerales; Glomeraceae.